Molecule: ribosomal RNA, 285 nt
Filed under: uncultured bacterium
Lineage: Bacteria
Description: partial 16S ribosomal RNA
Rfam family: Bacterial small subunit ribosomal RNA
Source: RNAcentral
ACUCCUACGGGAGGCAGCAGGAAGGAAUAUUGGGCAAUGGGCGAAAGCCUGACCCAGCGACGCCGCGUGAAGGAUGAAGGCCUUCGGGUUGUAAACUUCUAACAAGUGUUAGUAAGGCCACGUAUAAUAAUACGAUAUGUGGAUAGAAAAAAGCACCGGAUGAAGUCAUGGCUAACUCUGUGCCAGCAGCCGCGGUAAUACAGAGAUGGCAACCGUUGUUCGGAAUCACUGGGCUUAAAGAGCACGUAGGCGGAAAGUUAAGUUGGAUGUGAAAUCCCAUGGCUU